This 253-nucleotide ribosomal RNA is filed under the name uncultured bacterium. RNAcentral's name for it is "partial 16S ribosomal RNA". It matches the Rfam family "Bacterial small subunit ribosomal RNA", at positions 524 to 776 of the family's 1533-position model. The record is from RNAcentral.
UACGUAGGGUGCAAGCGUUAAUCGGAAUUACUGGGCGUAAAGCGUGCGCAGGCGGCUUUGCAAGACAGAUGUGAAAUCCCCGGGCUUAACCUGGGAACUGCACUUGUGACUGCAAGGCUGGAGUACGGCAGAGGGGGAUGGAAUUCCGCGUGUAGCAGUGAAAUGCGUAGAUAUGCGGAGGAACACCGAUGGCGAAGGCAAUCCCCUGGGCCUGUACUGACGCUCAUGCACGAAAGCGUGGGGAGCAAACAGG